CUGGAGUCUGCGAAGGCCGGGACCCGGUUCCCCGGCCCGCCGUGGGGAGUGUGCAAACCCGAGAGAACUGGGAAGUGCCGUCAGAAGCGAUAACUGACGACGUCUAACGUCUAUCUGACCGCAGUCGCUGAAACCUCUACAACUUAGUUGACCGUAACUGCCAGAGCCCUGCCCUGAAUUCCUGUCCUUACUCCCUCUUUCAGAUUGCGUACCCACUGCAGAGGGCUGAAGACGGGGUAGCCACGAGUCAAGUCUUCACCACUUGCUGGUUCCCAGGAGUAAACUUGUGUGAACGAUGACCUAAUUGCUAUAUUCACCUAGGUUGCAAAUUCGUGAAGAAUCAGCAGCAUGUUUGGCAGCUGAGUAUUGGAGCCAGGAGCCUGCCAUGAGGUUUUGAGAACAGGGUGCUGUUUUAGAGCUGGCAGCAGCAUCUCAGCCCAAGAGAAGGUUAUAUUCCCAGAGGAUGUCAGUCCCAAGGACCAGUAGCUGCCAUCAGUUUGGAUUCUGAAAACUAACCGGCAUCAACAUUGGGUGUAGAAACAUGCUUGCCUUGUGUAUCAGAGGACAUGCUCAGCAGAUCCAAGAGAUAUAUUUGGCAACUUUUUCUAGAAAAGGCACAUUAGGUAUCAUUCAUUACAUUCUUGAGUUUUUUUGGGGUUUUUUUUUUUUUUGAGACAGUCUUGCUGUGUUGCCCAGGCUGGAGUGUGGUGGCACAAUCACAGCUCAUUGCAGCCUCAAUCACCCAGGCCUAAGCAAUCCUCCCACCUUGUAGCUGGGACUACAGCUCACAGCACACCUGGCUAAAAUUUUUUUUUGUUG
This 819-nucleotide antisense RNA is filed under the name Pongo abelii (Sumatran orangutan). The stretch from base 45 to 120 matches the Rfam family "Small nucleolar RNA SNORD49". The record is from RNAcentral. Lineage: Eukaryota; Metazoa; Chordata; Mammalia; Primates; Hominidae.